Molecule: RNA transcript, 4124 nt
Organism: Cebus imitator (Panamanian white-faced capuchin)
Lineage: Eukaryota; Metazoa; Chordata; Mammalia; Primates; Cebidae
Gene: ZNF776
Gene name: zinc finger protein 776
Exons: 4
Source: RefSeq, a predicted model, not a curated record
AUAAAGGUGUUUCCGCGAGCGCGCGUAAUUUAAAGGCGGGACUUCCGGCGUCCUCUACUAGCGGCCAUUUUGAUUGGUGUUGGGUGUCUUUUCCCGUGAGAGACCUCCGAGCGCUGGAUCUGGCCGAAGUGACUGAACCCAGAAGGUGGAGAGAAGACCUUAUCCCAACGGCACAACGGCUGCUCUGCAGUUCCUUAAAGGCCAGGCGUGACCCGCGCCAACGUCGGGAUCUGGACCACAGUCCCCGGGUACCUGCCCUGCUCGCCACCUCCUCCCGACCCCGCUUUCCCCAGCCAGUCUGAUGGCGGCGGCCGCGCUGAGGCUCCCGGCUCAGGGCACUGUGACCUUUGAAGAUGUGGCUGUGAAGUUUUCCCAGGAGGAAUGGAGUCUCCUUAGUGAGGCUCAGAGAUGCCUUUAUCAUGACGUGAUGCUGGAGAACCUGGCACUUAUAUCUUCUCUAGGUUGUUGGUAUGGAGCAAAAGACGAGACACCUUCUAAGCAGACCCUUUCUAUACAACAGCAGUCUCCCCUCAGGUCACAUUGGACAGGAGUAUGUACAAAGAAGGCCCACCCCUGGGGAGUGUGUGGCCCUCUCCUGGGAGAUAUCUUACACCAGAGAACACAACACAAUCAGAAAUUGAAUAGUUUUGGGGCAUGUGAAAAAAAAUUAGAUGACAGUGCAAACCAUUAUCAAGAUCAGAAGCAGCACAUUGGAGAGAAAUCAUACAGAAGCAAUGCCAAGGAAACAUCAUUUGUAAAGAACUGUAAAUUCCAUGUGUUACAUGAGCCAUUUGUCUUUCAUGAGGUUGGGAAAGACUUUUUGUCCAGCUUGAGAUUAUUCCAACAAGAGGACAUUCACACUUCAGGGAAGUCAAAUAUUGAAACUAAGCAUGGGACACCCUUUCAGGGUGGAAAAACUCAUUACAUCUGUGGAGAGGCCACAACACCCUUCAGCAACAAACACUCACUUGCCCUUCACCAGAGACUUCUCCCUAGAGAAGGACCUUUGUGCAGUGAUUCUGGGAAAUUCAUUAGCAAAAGUAAUAGUUUCAAUAAUCAUCAGGGAGUUCACACUGGGAAAAAACCUUAUCAGUGUGGACAGUGUGAUGAAUCAUUUUGGUAUAAGGCCCACCUCACAGAACACCAGAGAGUUCACACUGGAGAAAGACCUUAUGAGUGUAGAGAAUGUGAUAAAUCUUUUAGUCAUAAGCACAGUCUUGUUGACCAUCAGCGAGUUCACACUGGAGAAAGACCUUAUGAAUGUGAUGAAUGUGGGAAAUCUUUUAGCCAUAAGCGCAGCCUUGUUCACCACCAGCGAGUUCACACUGGAGAAAAACCUUAUCAGUGUGGAGAAUGUGGAAAAUCGUUUAAUCACAAGUGCAACCUCAUUCAACAUCAGCGAGUUCAUACUGGAGAAAGGCCUUAUGAGUGUAUGGCAUGUGGGAAAUUAUUUAGGAGCAACUCCCACCUAAAGGAACAUCAGAGAGUUCACACUGGAGAAAGACCCUAUGAGUGUAAAGAAUGUAGGAAGUCAUUUAGGUACAAGUCACACCUCACUGAACACCAGAGAGUUCACACUGGAGAAAGGCCAUAUGAGUGUAGAGAAUGUGGGAAAUGUUUUCAUCAAAAGGGCAGUCUCAUUCAACAUCAGCAGAUUCACUCUGGAGAAAGGCCACAUGAAUGUGGAGAAUGUGGGAAAUGUUUUCAUCAAAAGGGCAGCCUCAUUCGACAUCAGCAAAUUCACUCGGGAGAAAGGCCACAUGAAUGUGGAGAAUGUGGGAAGUGUUUUCGUCAAAAGGGAAACCUCAUUAAACAUCAACGAGUUCACACAGGAGAAAGACAUCAUGAAUGUUGAAAAUUUGGCAAAUCUACUGGUAAAAAGGGCACCCUCAUUCAACAUCAGUGAGAUCACACUGGAAAGAGCUUAUAAGUGUGGAGAAUGUGCAAAAUCUAGUCAAAAAGUUGGCCUUAUUCAACAAUAGCAAGAUCACAAUGGAAAAAGGCCUUGUGAGUAUAGAGAAUGUAUGAAAUCCAGUACAUAGAAGUUUUACCUCAGUAAAUAGCAAAGGAGUCACACUGGACAAAGACCUUAUAGUUAUGGGGAAUUUGGCAAAUUACUUAAGAAGUACCCCCUCACUGAACACGAGAGUUCACAGUUGAGAAAGGCCAUAUGACUGUAAGGAAUUUGUGAAAUUAGCCAGAAGAGCUGCAUUACUUACUAUUCAUAGAACAUUCACAAUGGAGAAAGGCCAUAUAAAUGUGAGAAAUCAUUUUCCUACAGCUCUGCAUACCAUGUUCAUAAGAGUUCACAUUGGACAAAGCCUUAUGAGAGCUUUGAGUAGAAAAUGCUUUGUGGGAAAACUCUGGUCUCUAAUGGAGAGUUCCUACUAGAGAAAGGCUUAACAGUGUAGCAAAUGUGGAAAGACAUUUACCAGAAGCUCUGCCCUGCGAGUUGACACUAGAGAAAGCCCUUCUCAGGGAAGUAAAUUUGGAAAAUUGAUUAGUCAAACCUGUAUGACUUCAAGAUCAGAGUUCACACUGGAUCAAGGGUUUAUGGUAUGACAAAUGUGGCACAUUAUUUAUCUAAAUGUCUAGCUUUAUUAUGCACAAACAAGCUCCUGCUGUGGAAGUGCCUUUUGAGUGCAAAGAGUUUGAUGAAGGCUUUACUUUUCUUUCACUGGAUGCCCUAGAAUGUUGACAGAAGAAAAAUACCAUAGAUGUACAGGAAUAUUUCUUGUCCAGUGUAACUCUGGGAGAGAGCACUUAUGAGGACACCAUCAACCUAUACUGAAUGUCAUACGUCCAGUAGCUGCAUAAAUUCCAGGGACAUGAUGUCACUCUGAAACUCAGGCUGGAAUGCACUGGCAUGGUCAUACCUCACUGCGGCCUCAAACUCCUGGGCUCAAGUGAUCCUCCUGCCUCAGCCUCCCGAGUACCUGAGAUUAGCCCAGGUAAUUUAAGAAUUUUUUGUAGAGAUAGAGUUUUGCUAUUUUACACUGACUGAUGUUGAACUCCUGGCCUCAAGCAAUCCUCUAGCAUAUGCCCUCGAAAGCACUAGGCUUAUAGGUGUGAGCCACCAUGCCCACCCACAAAUAAUUUUUAUAGAAUUAGCAUUUCUAGGUAGUCAAGCCGACUGUGACAGAAUAGUUGGAAUAUACUUUUUUAAAAAAGGCAUCCACAGUGAUGCAGUUACUAUGUCUGUGAUGGACAAACAGGUACAGAAAUUUUCACAACCUCUGUAAUUAGGAAUCUAGUGUAGCUUAGGUCAUUGUCAGAGUAAAUCUAAAGGUUUUGUGGAUUUCUAUAGCCUAUCUGGGCUGCUUACCAAAAAGCCAUCCCUGAAUUAUUAGGAGGAAGAGGAUAGGGAGAAGGGAAAUCUCUUAGUCUACUGAUAGGUCCUUUGCAACCAGCCAGCAUUCCAAUUUAAUCAGGUGGUAAUGGUCUUCCUGGUUCAUAAGUAUUUGGUGUCACACAGUCUAGUUGCCCCCCUUAGAGUGUGAUGAGAGUUAGUAGAGUCAAUGUAGAAUUGCAUAACCUAUUUGUCAAAAAUACUGUUAAAUCCAGAAAAUCCUUUCAAAUUAAAUUUUUAAAACUGUAAUAAGACUGGGCAUAGUGACUCAUGCCUGUUAUCCCAACAUUUUGGGAGCCCAAGGUGGGAGUAUUGCUUGAGGUAAGGAGUUUGAGACUAGCCUGGGUCCCAUAGUAAGACCCUGUUUCUUAAAAACAAAAAAUACUGUCUUUCUCUCUGGCCUCUCCAUCCUCCAAACAAUCACUGAAUUGUAAUAUUUGCUUAACAGAUUAGUGUCAAUUUUCUGGAAUUUUAUAUGACUAACAUGUUUCAUCUUUUCAUACCUGAGUACUCUCCUGAGUCCUAUUUAUUUUGAUUUUUUUUUUUUUUAAUUAUUUCACAUAACAGGGAUAUAUAUUUUGACAUUCGUCAAUCAUGAUAUAUAAGUAGUUCAUUCUUUUUAUCUUAGAAUAUGACAUGCUUUAAAAAUCACUGUAUAUACUGCUUAUGGAUAUAUUAUUUCUUCUUGUUUUUGUCUGUUAGAAAUAAAACUGCUUGUUACACACAUUUGAAUGCAGUUCUUCAUAUAAAUAAUGUUUUAUUUCUCUUGUGUUAA